CCUACGGGUGGCAGCAGUGGGGAAUAUUGGUCAAUGGGCGGGAGCCUGAACCAGCCAAGUCGCGUGAGGGACGACGGUCCUAUGGAUUGUAAACCUCUUUUGUCGGGGAACGAAGCCGCCCACGUGUGGGCGGCUGGGUAUACCCCACGAAAUAGCAUCGGCUAACUCCGUGCCAGCAGGCGCGGUAAUACGGAGGAUGCGAGGGUUAUCCGGAUUUGUGGGGUUUAAGGGGUGCGUAGUCGGACAGUCAAGUCAGCGGUAAAAAUGCGGUGCUUAACGCCGUACAGCCGUUGAAACUGGCAGUCUUGAGUGGGCGAGAAGUAUGCGGAAUGCGUGGUGUAGCGGUGAAAUGCAUAGAUAUCACGCAGAACUCCGAUUGCGAAGGCAGCAGACCGGCGCCCGACUGACGCUGAGGCACGAAAGCGUGGGUAUCGAACAGGAUUAGAUACCCUAGUAGUC
RNAcentral lists this ribosomal RNA (459 nucleotides) under uncultured bacterium. RNAcentral's name for it is "partial 16S ribosomal RNA". It matches the Rfam family "Bacterial small subunit ribosomal RNA", at positions 338 to 795 of the family's 1533-position model. The record is from RNAcentral.